Molecule: ribosomal RNA, 468 nt
Filed under: uncultured bacterium
Lineage: Bacteria
Description: partial 16S ribosomal RNA
Rfam family: Bacterial small subunit ribosomal RNA
Source: RNAcentral
GACGAACGCUGGCGGCGGGCUUAACACAUGCAAGUCGAACGGAAACGCACUGCGAUCGUGGGGUGCUGGAUUGGGGAAGGCGGGAGUGAGACGAGAAUAACCUGCCCUAGACUUUGGGAUAACUUCAGGAAGCUGGGCCUACUACAGGAUAGGAGAUGCUGCUGCAUGGUAAGGGGUGGAAAGUCUCGGCGGUUGGGGAUGGACUCGCGGCUUAUCAGCUUGUUGGUGGGGUAGUGGAAUACCAAGGCUUAGACGGGUAGCCCGCCGGGGAGGGUGACCGGCCACCUUGCGACUGCGAUACGGACCAGUCUGCUACGGGAGACAGCAGUGGGGAAUAUUACCCAAUGGGCGGACGCCUGUUGCAGCAGCGCCGCGUUUGUAAAGACCUCCUUCGGGUUGUGAAACGCAUUCGCCUAAUACGAAGCGUGUCUGACGGUACUGGGAAAAGAAGCACCGGCUAACUACGUG